RNAcentral lists this ribosomal RNA (253 nucleotides) under uncultured bacterium. Its description in RNAcentral is "partial 16S ribosomal RNA". It matches the Rfam family "Bacterial small subunit ribosomal RNA", at positions 524 to 776 of the family's 1533-position model. The record is from RNAcentral.
UACGAAGGGGGCGAGCGUUGUUCGGAUUUACUGGGCGUAAAGGGCGCGCAGGCGGCGCAUUUUGUCAGGCGUGAAAGCCCCGGGCUUAACCUGGGAACUGCGUUUGAUACGGAUGGGCUAGAGUUCGGGAGAGGAGAGUGGAAUUCCCAGUGUAGAGGUGAAAUUCGUAGAUAUUGGGAAGAACACCGGUGGCGAAGGCGGCUCUCUGGACCGAGACUGACGCUGAGGCGCGAAAGCCAGGGGAGCGAACGGG